CCGCGUGAGGGAGGAAGGCCUUUGGGUUGUAAACCUCUUUUCUCAGGGAAGAAGAUCUGACGGUACCUGAGGAAUAAGCAUCGGCUAACUCCGUGCCAGCAGCCCGCGGUAAUACGGAGGAUGCAAGCGUUAUCCGGAAUUAUUGGGCGUAAAGCGUCUGUAGGUUGCCUAGCAAGUCUAUUGUUAAAGGUUAAAGCUUAACCUUAAAACUGCAGUAGAAACUGCUAAGCUUGAGUACAGUCGAAGUAGAGGGAAUUUCCAGUGAAGCGGUGAAAUGCGUAGAUAUUGGAAGGAACACCAAUGGCGAAAGCACUCUACUAGGCUUUUACUGACACUCAGAGACGAAAGCUAGGGAAUCACUAGUG
RNAcentral lists this ribosomal RNA (365 nucleotides) under uncultured cyanobacterium. RNAcentral's name for it is "bacterial SSU rRNA". It matches the Rfam family "Bacterial small subunit ribosomal RNA", at positions 397 to 776 of the family's 1533-position model. Lineage: Bacteria; Bacillati; Cyanobacteriota. The record is from RNAcentral.